UACGAAGGGGGCGAGCGUUGUUCGGAAUUACUGGGCGUAAAGGGCGCGCAGGCGGCUCUGAAAGUCAGAUGUGAAAGCCCCGGGCUUAACCUGGGAAUUGCAUUUGAUACUCUGGAGCUUGAGUACGGGAGAGGAGAGUGGAAUUCCCAGUGUAGAGGUGAAAUUCGUAGAUAUUGGGAAGAACACCUGUGGCGAAAGCGGCUCACUGGACCACAACUGACGCUGAGGCGCGAAAGCUAGGGGAGCAAACAGG
This 253-nucleotide ribosomal RNA is filed under the name uncultured bacterium. RNAcentral describes it as "partial 16S ribosomal RNA". It matches the Rfam family "Bacterial small subunit ribosomal RNA", at positions 524 to 776 of the family's 1533-position model. The record is from RNAcentral.